This 590-nucleotide ribosomal RNA is filed under the name Aeolothrips albicinctus. Its description in RNAcentral is "SSU rRNA". It matches the Rfam family "Eukaryotic small subunit ribosomal RNA", at positions 4 to 579 of the family's 1831-position model. The record is from RNAcentral. Lineage: Eukaryota; Metazoa; Arthropoda; Insecta; Thysanoptera; Aeolothripidae.
CUGGUUGAUCCUGCCAGUAGUCAUAUGCUUGUCUCAAAGAUUAAGCCAUGCAUGUCUAAGUGCAAGCCAAAUUAAGGUGAAACCGCGAAAGGCUCAUUAUAUCAGUUAUGGUUCAAUAGAUCGUACUCAGUUACAUGGAUAACUGCGGAAAUACUGGAGCUAAUACAUGCCAACAGAGUCCCGACCGGUGACGGAAGGGACGCUUUUAUUAGAUCAAAACCAAUCGGUCGCUUCGGCGAUCGUGCAGUCUUGGUGACUCUGAAUAACUUUGGGCUGAUCGCACGGCCUCCGUGCCGGCGACGCAUCUUUCAAAUGUCUGCCUUAUCAACUGUCGAUGGUAGGUUCUGCGCCUACCAUGGUUGUAACGGGUAACGGGGAAUCAGGGUUCGAUUCCGGAGAGGGAGCCUGAGAAACGGCUACCACAUCCAAGGAAGGCAGCAGGCGCGCAAAUUACCCACUCCCGGCUCGGGGAGGUAGUGACGAAAGAUAACGAUACGGGACUCAUCCGAGGCCCCGUAAUCGGAAUGACUACACUUUAAAUCCUUUAAGGAGUAUCAAUGAGAGGGCAAGUCUGGUGCCAGCAGCCGCGG